GCAGUUAAAAAGCUCGUAGUUGAACUUCAUGAGCAGUAGGUAGCUUACUACCUGCUCUCUACCAGUCUUUCGACUGUUACUGUGAGAAAAUUAGAGUGUUUCAAGCAGGCUAUUGCAGGAAUACAUUAGCAUGGAAUAACGAAUGUACCUACAAUUUGGUUAAUUGUAGAUUACUAUUAAUAGGGACAGUUGGGGGCAUUAGUAUUUAAUUGUCAGAGGUGAUAUUCUUGGAUUUGUUAAAGACUAACGUAUGCGAAAGCAUUUGCCAAGGAUGUUUUCAUUAAUCAAGAACGAAAGAUAGGGGAUCAAAGACGAUCAGAUACCGUCGUAGUCCUAUCUAUAAACUAUGCCGACUAGGGAUUGGAAUGAUCUGCAUCAUUUCAGUACCUUAUGAGAAAUCAAAGUCUUUGGGUUCUGGG
Molecule: ribosomal RNA, 419 nt
Filed under: uncultured eukaryote
Lineage: Eukaryota
Description: SSU rRNA
Rfam family: Eukaryotic small subunit ribosomal RNA
Source: RNAcentral